This 88-nucleotide transfer RNA is filed under the name Andalucia godoyi. Its description in RNAcentral is "tRNA-Ser". It matches the Rfam family "tRNA". Rfam says of the family: Transfer RNA (tRNA) molecules are approximately 80 nucleotides in length. Their secondary structure includes four short double-helical elements and three loops (D, anti-codon, and T loops). Further hydrogen bonds mediate the characteristic L-shaped molecular structure. tRNAs have two regions of fundamental functional importance: the anti-codon, which is responsible for specific mRNA codon recognition, and the 3' end, to which the tRNAs corresponding amino acid is attached (by aminoacyl-tRNA synthetases). tRNAs cope with the degeneracy of the genetic code in two manners: having more than one tRNA (with a specific anti-codon) for a particular amino acid; and 'wobble' base-pairing, i.e. permitting non-standard base-pairing at the 3rd anti-codon position. The record is from RNAcentral. Lineage: Eukaryota; Jakobea; Jakobida; Andaluciidae.
GGAUGGAUGUCUGAGUGGUUGAUAGUGCUGGUCUUGAAAACCGGUGUGUUUGAAGAAAACACCAUGGGUUCGAAUCCCAUUCCAUCCU